RNAcentral lists this ribosomal RNA (253 nucleotides) under uncultured bacterium. Its description in RNAcentral is "partial 16S ribosomal RNA". It matches the Rfam family "Bacterial small subunit ribosomal RNA", at positions 524 to 776 of the family's 1533-position model. The record is from RNAcentral.
UACGUAGGGUGCGAGCGUUAAUCGGAAUUACUGGGCGUAAAGUGUGCGCAGGCGGCCAUGCAAGUCGAGUGUGAAAGCCCCGGGCUUAACUUGGGAAUUGCGCUCGAAACUACGUGGCUGGAGUGUGGCAGAGGAAGGUGGAGUUCCACGUGUAGCGGUGAAAUGCGUAGAGAUGUGGAGGAACACCAAUGGCGAAGGCAGCCUUCUGGGCCAACACUGACGCUCAUGCACGAAAGCGUGGGGAGCAAACAGG